GUAACAUCUGGGAUGGCAUGAGGGUGAGUAAAUGAUGAGUUUUCAUUUUUGGGUGAACUAUCCCUUUAAGGUGUUUUGCAGUUAAAUUUUUCAAGAGUCACAGAAUGAUGAACAAUGGUGUUGGCCAUGUGAUUUAAACUGAUGAAGUAAUAAGUUUGCUUCUGUUCUCUGCAGGUAUGGCUCAAACUCAGGAGGUGAGCGUGAGAUACAGAGAACUAUGUUGGAGCUGCUGAACCAGUUGGAUGGAUUUGACUCCCGUGGAGACGUUAAAGUCAUCAUGGCUACUAAUAGGAUAGAGACCCUUGAUCCUGCCCUCAUUAGACCUGGAAAAUUAAUGAGCUUACCAUGUUUAUUUCUAGUAUGGGUUUCACAUUCUAAUUAAAUUAAACUUGACUCCAUGCCCUUGUACAUAUAUCUAUGAUGUAAAAAAACACUAGUGUGCAGCUCAGGUUUAGGAUUCCGUGGAUUUCUUGUUUUUACAUCAAGAUUUUUAAGUCAAAAAAUAUAUAAAUGUAAUAAGUAGGUUCUUUAACCGUUUACCAUUUUUAAUAAGAUAUUUGCCUUCACUAGUUUAUUUUAAAUGGUCCUGCGGCAGUGACAAAUUAAUUUUUAAAAGCACAAAUAUUGCUUGUAGUCUCUCAGUUAAAAUAAGGUCUUUCUGCAUGCAUUAUAAUUAUAAAAGUAUUAGCAAAAUGCUGUUUAGAUGGAGUAUAAUGGGACAUGUUAACUUUCCAAAAAGUAUUUCAUAUCAACUAUCCAUUUUCUGUUUGUGUUUUUAAUAAUUUGCACAAAACUACACUUACAAAGAUGUGUUAAGAAUGGAUUAUUAUUGGAAAAGUAUCAUGAUAUGACCUCUUAUUUUAACAAUACUUUAAUAUCCAACAUUAGUGUCAUAGAAAGAGUGGGUUUGCACUUUUUGUUUUUUUGUAAUUCCACAGGCAGAAUUGGUCGUAAGAUUGAGUUCCUGCUGCCAGAUGAGAAGACUAAUCAGGAUGACUUUUGGAACGCCCAAUUCCCACUUCUUAGUGGGUUACUCACCUCAGUCUGGGUGGUGGAGGACAAGUCUCAGUUGCCUCCACUUCUGAGACCAUCAAUCCGCGCAUCUUAUCACGUGGCACAUUGUGCAUGACACUGCGGAGACUCCCAGCAUGUGGAGACUCAUGCUACUCUCCGCGAUCCAUGCACAACUUACCACAUGCUCCAUUGAGAGCAAGAACCACUAAUUGUGACCACGAGGAGGUUACCCCAUGUGACUCUACCCUCCCUAGCAACUGGGCCAAUUUGGUUGCUUAGAAGACCUGGCUGGAGUCACUCAGCACACCCUGGGUUUGAACCUGCGACUCCAGGGGUGGUAGCCAUUUGUACAGAGGCAGGGCUGAUGGCUCUAAGGGAAAGGAGAAUGAAAGUUACAAACGAAGAUUUCAAGAAGUCCAAAGAGAACGUCCUAUAUAAGAAACAGGAGGGGACACCAGAGGGGCUCUACCUUUUACCCACCGCCAGUCAAAGUCCUGUCUCACACCAUUACUUUUUUUUAUAGUUACACUUAUUCCUGAUGUUAACCUCUGUUGUUCAUUUGUGCUCGAUGGCAAUUAAAUGUUUGCAUACACUAAGUGUCUUUGAGUCUUAGCAGAACCCAUAUUCACUGCUGAUCUGAGUAGAAUCAAGGGUGAGUCUCACAAAAGCAUGUCCAGGUCACAUUUCACCCCAAUAUCAAAAGAAGAAAAAUAUGAAAUUAUCGCAUAAAUAAAAUUAAGCUUAUUUUUGGAUUGUUAGGAUUUGUUGUGACAUUAUUUUUCUCUAUGGUUUCUUUGAUUUCUCAAUGGUGAUUCUCAGUAUUUAUUUAAAUAAGCACAUACUACUAUAUAUAUAUAUAUAUAUAUAUAUAUAUAUGUGUGUGUGUGUGUGUGUGUGUAUUUAUAAAUGUGUAUAUA
Molecule: long non-coding RNA, 1931 nt
Organism: Myxocyprinus asiaticus (Chinese sucker)
Lineage: Eukaryota; Metazoa; Chordata; Actinopteri; Cypriniformes; Catostomidae
Exons: 3
Source: RefSeq, a predicted model, not a curated record